This 478-nucleotide ribosomal RNA is filed under the name uncultured bacterium. Its description in RNAcentral is "bacterial SSU rRNA". It matches the Rfam family "Bacterial small subunit ribosomal RNA", at positions 40 to 507 of the family's 1533-position model. The record is from RNAcentral.
CUACAGGCUUAACACAUGCAAGUCGAGGGGCAGCAUGGUCUUAGCUUGCUAAGGCCGAUGGCGACCGGCGCACGGGUGAGUAACACGUAUCCAACCUGCCGUCUACUCUUGGACAGCCUUCUGAAAGGAAGAUUAAUACAAGAUGGCAUCAUGAGUUCACAUGUUCACAUGAUUAAAGGUAUUCCGGUAGACGAUGGGGAUGCGUUCCAUUAGAUAGUAGGCGGGGUAACGGCCCACCUAGUCUUCGAUGGAUAGGGGUUCUGAGAGGAAGGUCCCCCACAUUGGAACUGAGACACGGUCCAAACUCCUACGGGAGGCAGCAGUGAGGAAUAUUGGUCAAUGGGCGCAGGCCUGAACCAGCCAAGUAGCGUGAAGGAUGACUGCCCUAUGGGUUGUAAACUUCUUUUAUAAAGGAAUAAAGUCGGGUAUGUAUACCCGUUUGCAUGUACUUUAUGAAUAAGGAUCGGCUAACUCCGUG